Molecule: small nuclear RNA, 107 nt
Organism: Ailuropoda melanoleuca (giant panda)
Lineage: Eukaryota; Metazoa; Chordata; Mammalia; Carnivora; Ursidae
Source: Ensembl
GUGCUCACUUCAGCAGCACAUAUACUAGAAUUGGAAAGAUACAAAAAAUAGAUCCUUGGCCCCUGCAUAAGGAUGACACUCAAAUUCAUGAAUUGUUCCUUAUUUUU